RNAcentral lists this ribosomal RNA (433 nucleotides) under uncultured bacterium. RNAcentral's name for it is "partial 16S ribosomal RNA". It matches the Rfam family "Bacterial small subunit ribosomal RNA", at positions 29 to 507 of the family's 1533-position model. The record is from RNAcentral.
AACGAACGCUGGCGGCAUGCCUAACACAUGCAAGUCGAACGAGACCGGCGGGUCUAGUGGCGCACGGGUGCGUAACGCGUGGGAACCUGCCCUUAGGUUCAGAAUAACUUCCCGAAAGGGGUGCUAAUACCGGAUAAUGUCUUCGGACCAAAGAUUUAUCGCCAUUGGAUGGGCCCGCGUUGGAUUAGCUAGUUGGUAGGGUAAAAGCCUACCAAGGCGACGAUCCAUAGCUGGUCUGAGAGGAUGAUCAGCCAAACUGGGACUGAGACACGGCCCAGACUCCCACGGGAGGCAGCAGUGGGGACUAUUGGACAAUGGGCGAGAGCCUGAUCCAGCAAUGCCGCGUGAGUGAUGAAGGCCUUAGGGUUGUAAAGCUCUUUUACCCGGGAUGCUAAUGACAGUACCGGGCGAAUAAGCUCCGGCUAACUCCGUG